AAACAAUGGUAGGCAGCUAGUUUCAAUGGAAUUAAUAAUUUUUUUAAAAAACAAUAGAAUUCAACUUGUGACUAGUCGACCCUACCAUCUCCA
Molecule: non-coding RNA, 93 nt
Organism: Tribolium castaneum (red flour beetle)
Lineage: Eukaryota; Metazoa; Arthropoda; Insecta; Coleoptera; Tenebrionidae
Source: RefSeq, marked provisional